Long non-coding RNA from Glycine soja, 763 nucleotides. RefSeq lists it as uncharacterized. NCBI's taxonomy places the organism in Eukaryota, Viridiplantae, Streptophyta, Magnoliopsida, Fabales, Fabaceae. The record is from RefSeq and is a predicted model, not a curated record. The transcript is spliced from 5 exons.
UAUGCUAUUAUAAUUCUGGUGUUGUCGCUUUUUAAAAGAACUUAUUGGUUUUUUCCUAGUGUUGUUUCCUGGUGUGGAAAAUUGAAUGCUAUAGCUUGUGCUUCUGAAACGUGUGCAAGAAUUCCAAGGUGGAUAGGGCAGCAGCUAAUGUGAGAAACACUAACAUAAGGCUAAAGAAAAUGCUCACUAAGUGUUGUCUACAAAAGGAGGAAUUCUGUUAUGUGUACUCGAUUGUGUCGUGUGGUACCCAUUGUAGCCUGAAAGUGACCUACUCUUUGUCUUCAGUGACUAUCUAGCCGAGGGUCAUGGCCACAUCUCCGAGGUCUCCUCCGCAUUUCGAUGGUCAGUCAAAGGCCACUUCCAAGAGGAGUAGACAAUCGACAUGGCUAAGAAGCUUGACUUUAAGAACUGUCGAUCAACCAAGACCAAUAGUUAAUGUAAAUCCCGGUACUGGGAGAGGAUCAGGCCUUCACAAGUAAAAGUUCCAUAAUUAUCUGAGGGUAGUAGCUCAAGAAAAGAUUCCUAUUGUACACAACAACUAGAAAGAUGCACCUGAAUCUCUAAAGGACCUAGUAUGAGAUGACAUUUUGGCUAAAUUUGAUAUCCUAGAAGCACCAAAUGCGAAGAAGAAGGAUCGCGCAAGUAGUAUAAAAUGAUAAGAAUCGAAUAUCGAACUCUUGGGGAACUUGUGUUACUUGGUAAAGCUAUAUUCAGUGAAUAGGUGUCUAGUAUGAAAAGAGAUGUGUCAACUAUGCACAGGUAU